This is a non-coding RNA of Paramuricea clavata, 1289 nucleotides long. The record is from the annotation of a GenBank genome assembly. Lineage: Eukaryota; Metazoa; Cnidaria; Anthozoa; Malacalcyonacea; Plexauridae.
AGUGAUGAAGUUAUCUAAACCCAAACCAUAUUUAAAACCAAGUGAACCACAAUCAGGUAUGAUUGUAAUCUUAAAACCAGAAACAGAUCUGAAACCUUUAACGUAGGAGGUUCGGCGAUUUUAAAAGGUUUUUUUUUAAUUUUAUGGAGUAGACUGAUCAACUCCAAAAGCGGUGACAGCAGGGCCGUAGCGACGGGGGGUGUGUGGGGGGGCAACAAUCCCCCCCCCCAUAACAUUGCCCAUGAGCAAUUUCAGAUAGAGCAGUAGAUUUUCAGGCCGGUUGCCAUUGCAGUCGCUUUGCCCGCGCGGACGGAGCGGGCUUUGAAAAUCUGCUCACGCGGGCGUGACGGGCGUCAAAAAAGAUGAACGGGGACAUGCCAAAUACCCUUUCUGACGAUCUGGAGACUACAAAUUUCAAACAUUUUCUCAAUUUUUCUAGUCACAUUAAACUGUAAGUAGCAAUACAUAACAAUAUUAAGAUAUUGAAAUAUUGGGUAGGAAGGACUCUAAAAAUGAUAUUUCCGACGGUCUAGAGACUUCAAAUUUUCAAAAAAAAUUUCUCGGCGCCAACCAUGGUUAAAAACGUUGAGUUGGAAAAUUCAGGUAAAUCUAACCUCCACCCCGCCCCCCCUCCCCCCAAAGGCGAAGUCUUGACAACGGCCCUGGGUGACAGAAUAUCUCUUUUGGAGUUGAUUAAGCUCCUUGAAAUGUACAGUGUUGCCAAUGGAUGAUUCCAACUGUAGAGGAAUUUUUUUAUCAAGGCAAGAAGCACGAAAUCCAUUACCACAGCUGGAAAGAGCAUGUUAAAAAGAGUAAAAUUGCAAAGUUUGGUUGCGAAUUGUUGUAAAAUGAGGAAAAUAUAGCCCUGUGAAGUUCGCAAAUAUUGUAUAUAUUUGCAUUACGCUGAAAGUGGUUAUUUUUACCGCGCGUAAUACAAAUAUAUCCAAAAUUUGCGAACUUCACAGGGCUAUAUUUUCUUCAUUUUACAACAUUUCGCAACCAAUCUUUGCAGUUUUACUCAUUCUAAGAUGCUCUUUCUAGCUGUGGUGUUGGAUUUCAUUCUUCUUGCCUUGAUCAAAAUUUAAUCAAAAGCUGGAAUCACCCAUUAAUUGUUAACCGUGUUUAAUAUUCUUCAACCAGAUCCAGGAUCUGACCACGUAUCUCGGCAUGUCGCUGAAAAGCCACCGCUUCCCACUGAUGCGAUUUUGAGUGGAAACAGCAAUACGAAGUACUUGACAGGUAAUCUCAAACGGUCGAUCCAUAGGAGUACGAGACAGGGGGCAAGGGGG